This 301-nucleotide ribosomal RNA is filed under the name uncultured bacterium. RNAcentral describes it as "partial 16S ribosomal RNA". It matches the Rfam family "Bacterial small subunit ribosomal RNA", at positions 509 to 809 of the family's 1533-position model. The record is from RNAcentral.
CAGUCGCCACGGUAAUACAGAGGGUGCGAGCGUUAAUAGGAUUUACUGGGCGUAAAGCGUGCGUAGGCGGCUUUUUAAGUCGGAUGUGAAAUCCCUGAGCUUAACUUAGGAAUUGCAUUAGAUACUGGGAAGCUAGAGUAUGGGAGAGGAUGGUAGAAUUCCAGGUGUAGCGGUGAAAUGCGUAGAGAUCUGGAGGAAUACCGAUGGCGAAGGCAGCCAUCUGGCCUAAUACUGACGCUGAGGUACGAAAGCAUGGGGAGCAAACAGGAUUAGAUACCCCUGUAGUCCCUGUCUCUUAUAA